RNAcentral lists this ribosomal RNA (499 nucleotides) under uncultured bacterium. RNAcentral's name for it is "bacterial SSU rRNA". It matches the Rfam family "Bacterial small subunit ribosomal RNA", at positions 28 to 524 of the family's 1533-position model. The record is from RNAcentral.
GACGAACGCUGGCGGCGUGCUUAACACAUGCAAGUCGAGCGGUAAGGCCCUUCGGGUACACGAGCGGCGAACGGGUGAGUAACACGUGGGUGACCUGCCCUUAGCUCUGGGAUAAGCCUGGGAAACUGGGUCUAAUACCGGAUAUGACCUCAUGACGCAUGUUGUGGGGUGGAAAGCCUUGUGCGGCUAGGGAUGGGCCCGCGGCCUAUCAGCUUGUUGGUGGGGUGAUGGCCACCAAGGCGACGACGGGUAGCCGGCCUGAGAGGGCGACCGGCCACACUGGGACUGAGACACGGCCCAGACUCCUACGGGAGGCAGCAGUGGGGAAUUGUUCGCAAUGGGCGCAAGCCUGACGACGCAACGCCGCGUGGAGGAUGAAGAUCUUCGGGUCGUAAACUCCUUUCGAUCGAGACGAACGGCUCCUGGGCGAAUAUCCCGGGAGAUUGACGGUACCGAGAGAAGAAGCCCCGGCUAACUCCGUGCCAGCAGCCGCCGUAAU